UUCUCUAUUGGAGUAACAAACGGAGAGGAAGAGAGCUUCAAAACCUUGUUUCUUGAUUUAAUUUCAUGGGGGUUUGCUUGAGCGCCCAAAUUAAAGCUGAGAGCCCAUGUAACACAGGGCUGAGUUCAAAAUAUGUUAGCACAGAUGGGAAUGAUCAUAGCACAAGUAGCAAGGUCUCAUCCUCUCCGUUUGUUACUCCAAUAGAGAA
This 208-nucleotide unclassified non-coding RNA is filed under the name Hevea brasiliensis (rubber tree). Lineage: Eukaryota; Viridiplantae; Streptophyta; Magnoliopsida; Malpighiales; Euphorbiaceae. The record is from RNAcentral.